Molecule: ribosomal RNA, 253 nt
Filed under: uncultured bacterium
Lineage: Bacteria
Description: partial 16S ribosomal RNA
Rfam family: Bacterial small subunit ribosomal RNA
Source: RNAcentral
UACGUAGGGUGCGAGCGUUGUCCGGAAUUACUGGGCGUAAAGAGCUCGUAGGUGGUUUGUCGCGUUGUUCGUGAAAACCGGGGGCUUAACUCUCGGCGUGCGGGCGAUACGGGCAGACUGGAGUACUGCAGGGGAGACUGGAAUUCCUGGUGUAGCGGUGGAAUGCGCAGAUAUCAGGAGGAACACCGGUGGCGAAGGCGGGUCUCUGGGCAGUAACUGACGCUGAGGAGCGAGAGCGUGGGGAGCGAACAGG